UACGUAGGGCGCAAGCGUUGUCCGGAAUUAUUGGGCGUAAAGAGCUCGUAGGCGGCCCGUCACGUCGACUGUGAAAACCCAGGGCUCAACCCUGGGCCUGCAGUCGAUACGGGCAGGCUAGAGUGUGGUAGGGGAGACUGGAAUUCCUGGUGUAGCGGUGAAAUGCGCAGAUAUCAGGAGGAACACCGGUGGCGAAGGCGGGUCUCUGGGCCAUAACUGACGCUGAGGAGCGAAAGCGUGGGGAGCGAACAGG
This 253-nucleotide ribosomal RNA is filed under the name uncultured bacterium. RNAcentral's name for it is "partial 16S ribosomal RNA". It matches the Rfam family "Bacterial small subunit ribosomal RNA", at positions 524 to 776 of the family's 1533-position model. The record is from RNAcentral.